This 445-nucleotide ribosomal RNA is filed under the name uncultured bacterium. RNAcentral's name for it is "bacterial SSU rRNA". It matches the Rfam family "Bacterial small subunit ribosomal RNA", at positions 354 to 796 of the family's 1533-position model. The record is from RNAcentral.
GUGAGGAAUAUUGGUCAAUGGGCGGAAGCCUGAACCAGCCAUGCCGCGUGAAGGACGAAGGCGUUCUGCGUUGUAAACUUCUUUUAUAAGGGACGAAAAAAGGCUUUUCUAAGUCGUCUGACGGUACCUUAUGAAUAAGCACCGGCUAACUCCGUGCCAGCAGCCGCGGUAAUACGGAGGGUGCAAGCGUUAUCCGGAUUCACUGGGUUUAAAGGGUGCGUAGGCGGGCAGGUAAGUCAGUGGUGAAAUCCUAGAGCUUAACUCUAGAACUGCCAUUGAUACUAUCUGUCUUGAAUAUUGUGGAGGUAAGCGGAAUAUGUCAUGUAGCGGUGAAAUGCUUAGAUAUGACAUAGAACACCUAUUGCGAAGGCAGCUUACUACGCAUAUAUUGACGCUGAGGCACGAAAGCGUGGGGAUCAAACAGGAUUAGAAACCCCUGUAGUCC